Molecule: long non-coding RNA, 1832 nt
Filed under: Homo sapiens (human)
Lineage: Eukaryota; Metazoa; Chordata; Mammalia; Primates; Hominidae
Description: HSALNT0072087
Source: RNAcentral
ACUGCACUCCACUCUGGGGGACAGGCCAAGACUCUGUCUUAGAAAAAAAAGUCCUCCUUUUCAGUCAAGUUCUCACUUAGUUGCGAGUGUGACUAAAAUAUAGGGCCUUAGCAUCACUCUUAGUUACCAUUGUUUUGGGUUCCGGGUUUAGCACGUCAUUCCCAUUGUUUUGGGUUUCUGGUUUAGCACGUCACUCCCAUUGUUUUGGGUUCUGGUUUUAGCACGUCACUCCCAUUGUUUUGGGUUUCUGGUUUAGCAGGAUGCUCCCAUUGUUUUCAGUUUCUGAUUUAGCAGGAUGCUCCCAUUGUUUUGGGUUUCUGGUUUAGCAGGUCACUCCCAUUGUUUUGGGUUCCAGUUUUAGCACGUCACUCCCGUUGUUUUGGGUUCCAGUUUUAGCACGUCACUCCCAUUGUUUUGGGUUUCUGGUUUAGCAGGUCACUCCCAUUGUUUUCGGUUUCUGGGUUAGCAGGAUGCUCCCAUUGUUUUGGGUUUCUGGUUUAGCAGGUCACUCCCAUUGUUUUGGGUUCCGGUUUUAGCACAUCACUCCCAUUGUUUUCAUUUCCGGUUUUAGCACAUCACUCCCAUUGUUUUGGGUUCCAGUUUUAGCAAGUCACUCCCAUUGUUUUGGGUUCUGAUUUUAGUGCACGUCACCCCCAUUGUUUUGGGUUCCAGUUUUAGUAUAUCACUCUCAUUGUUUUGGGUUUCUGGUUUAGCACGUCACUCCCAUUGUUUUGGGUUUCUGGUUUCGCAGGUCACUCCCAUUGUUUUGGGUUCUGGUUUAAGCACAUCACUCCCAUUGUUUUCAUUUCCGCUUUUGGCACGUCACUCCCAUUGUUUUGGGUUCCAGUUUUAGCAAGUCACUCCCAUUGUUUUGGGUUUCUUGUUUAGCACGUCACUCCCAUUGUUUUGGGUUCUGGUUUUAGUGCACGUCACUCCCAUUGUUUUGGGUUCCCGUUUUAGUACAUCACUCCCAUUGUUUUGGGUUUCUGGUUUAGCAUGUCACCCCCAUUGUUUUGGGUUUCCGGUUUAGCAUGUCACUCAUAGGUUAUGGUGUCCUUACGGUUGCCCUUUUUUUUUAAUCUCUUGUCAUUCCAGUUGAAGAGAUACCAUUUGAUAUUUUAGAGAUGCCUGCAUGCAAACUCUUAAAACAUUUGAGUAAGUACAGUGCAACAGGGAGACUCUUAUGACUGUUGGGAUAACACCAAGAAUUUGGUAUAUGCUCCUAACUCAGGGUCCCCAUAAAUCAAACCACCUAAAAUCAAAUAGAUUAAAGAAUGAAUUAGAUAAAGAGUUUACUUGCUUAACUAAGUGGGUUUUUUUGUUAAUUCCCUACAACCAAAUUUUUAUAAUACCCCAUGUUUUCUCCACAUGCUGUAAGUGUUAGCAGCUGCACAGAUACUUAAGAUAAGUGUCUCAUGAUAGUAGAGAAGUCUUGAUCUGUGAUCGUGGGAAAAGCUGUUCACAUUAAGGAUGCCAUCUUCUUCUGGGGGGAACUGUCCUUGUUAGCUUUACCUUAAGGGUUCCAAUGGGUAUAUGGUUCCAAGUGUGGAAGGACCUUUCUGAGUUGUGAGACUAUGAACCCAAAGUUUAAGGUUUUAAAGUUUUGCUGUCAUGUGGAUGGCAAGGGCAGUCCUUCUCUGAUGUUCUCAGAAGAUCCAGUCAUCAGAUUCCAGAUUUUGAAGGAGUUGACUGUCCUCAGCGAACCAUAAAAGGCUUUCUUUACCUGGUGAAAAUACACUUCAGGGUAAUAAUGUACUGUUUUAACAUCAACUCUCUCGCAUGGAAGAGCUUUUAUACAAUCAGAAAACAUGCACUGAAAAUGACAACUGAAU